GCAAGGGGAAGGCAUUGUUUUCAAAGAAUACCAUUUCAUACCUGGAUUGGGUAGGUUUAUUCCAUCCUAGUUAAGACCUGGGUAAGUUCCUGCCGCCAGUGAUAAAAUGAAAAUCCAUUUUAGCCAAGCCACAGGAAAACCAUGUAAGAGUUAGAUGUGAAAGCCCAUUUCCAUUUUCAUUAGCGUGGGUAAGCUGUUCAGGCUGGAAAUUGUUGUUAUCCGGUCCAAAGUGUUAUCCAGUUACCUUCUGCAGGUUACUAUGAAAUCACGUACUGCUAUCAAAGGUUCUUACGAGUCUAUAAUGUUUCAGUUCUCAGUCACGGCUCCAACAAAAUUUCUUCUCUUGCUGGCAGUUCCAGAUUUGGUCUCUUUUUCUGUCUUUGCAUGUGUUUUUCUUCCUGGUAGCAGCUACCAGCUUCUUCCCACUAUCGCAGCAGUUUCUCCUACCUUUGCUUAUGUUUCUACCACGUCACAGCAGUGUAGUUAGCUCUCCUUAGGUCAGCAAAGCCAGGCAUUCAUAGCUUGCACUUUCUAAAACUUUUCAAGCGCUGAGUAAUUUAAAAUGUAUUAUGUUUUUUGAAUUAAGCAUCAAAAACUUUGCAUUUAAGUCUGUUCACAGGCCAAAAGAGACAGUUAAAACUCACUACUGAUUUUUUGUACAGAAGUCCAGGGUUUUAGAGAAAUAAAUAUGACUUGAGUCCGAUGGGGAAAGUUUAUUCAAAUUAAUCUAGAUUUAUUCAAACCCACCAUUAUAAAGACAUCAGCAAGUCAUAUCAGAAGAUUAAAGCUGUUAAUGCACUGUACUCAAGUUACCAUGACUGUCAGAGAAAAGUUAAACUCUAUGUUGGGUAAUAUUAAUAAAAACAGCAUGUUAAAAAUACAACUAUGUCACUACAGCUAGCUCCAACCUUGAUUUUUUUUUUUUUUAAAUAUAGGGGCAAAUUUUAUAAAUGUUGUUGAAUUUGAAAAUAUCUUCAACUAUGGACAAACUUUCAUGGAAAUAAAAGACUGGGGGAAGCAGGAUUAUUCACAGACAUAUGAAUGGAUAUUGGACAAGAGAUAAAUCAAUCUUAUUAACCAAUAGGGAAGACCAGAAAGUAAUAACAUAAAGCAUUAACAUGAAAAAAUGCAGACUAAAAAUUAGGGAAAUUUUCAUAACUAUGUGCAGAAUAAAUGCAGAUGCAAAUCAGAAACAAGAUGCCAGGAAAAGCUAUGAAAUUAACUCCAUGGAGGAUAUUCAAGACAUCAGUCUGUGGGGAGUUACUUCAGCGUAAUUCAGUCAGAGCUUUCAGGAGGCAAAGACAUGAACUGGGGAGUCUACCUUUUUCUCACCCAAAUCGUCAGAAAUGGCUUUGGUGAGCUAAAUGUUAUGUUGUCACAAGUUGCCCCCAUUUAUUACAACCCAGUUUCCUUGAAAUAGAUGGAAUAGACUGGCAAGUAUGCUGACAAUGGCCUCAUAACCUGAAUGUCACAGCAAGGCCAGUCACUGGGGUAUCUGACUAAAAGUCAUUGCUAUUUUUCCAGGUCAGAUCUUUCUUUUUAAUUUAACCUGCUUUAGUGAAAGCAUUUAAAAUCUGUUUCUUGAAAGCAUACUGAGAUAAAUUCUCACAGGGAUUUUUAUGAAUAGAUGUGCUUUGCUUUGUUUCUAACAAAGAUUAAUGCUUUUGCAUAAGAGUUGGAAAGCAGUUUUACAGUCAAAGGAAAACAGAAGUUACCGCUGAUCCCUCAAAGAGAGCACAGGCCUGUCAGUCUGAUUCUGGUGUUUGGAAAGAGAAAUAUUUUCUUCUUUUCUUUCCAUAACUGUGAUAACAAUCUGUAAGCCAAAGUACAACUAAAGUGUCUCCUGGAAUUACACUGUUUGCAAGAAAUGAAUUUUAAACUUAUUAUAAUAGUGUACUAAAGAGCUUGAAAUUUUCAUGCCCACAGGGCAAUAUAGCACUCCAUUUGUGAUUUGAUGUCGCAAGCAUGUAGACUUCUUUAGUUUUACAAAUGCUCUUCAAGAAAAUAUUUAAUUUUUCUCUCCGGGGAAAACAUUAAACCCUACCUCAGGAAAUUGUGCAGAAGGAAGGAAAUUUGGGUUGAGAUGGCCAUGUUUUGACUUCCAGUCACCAAAAUCAAAUUCCUUCCAAUAUGUAUUCCAGCUUUGGGUUCAUAAUCCUACGACUCUGAACCAAAAUAAUAAACCUAGGACAUAUUUUACCCUUUAUAUUAUAUACCCCUCUGUAACAUUCCAACGAGUUUUUUCUUAUUUUUCAGGUUUCUGGAGAGCAAUGAUUACUUUAGGUUCCUAAGGAAAUAAGGUUUAGAUGAUCACAAUCUGUCUACUCAUACAUUUCUCUUUCCUUCUCUCUUUUGAAGCAACAAAGUAUUUUUAUUUAUACUUGACUGGGUGGAUGAAGAUGUCAAAGAUGAAAUACUUGUCCAAGUUUUUUGUUUGGGUAAAGGAAAACUAAUCAAGUUGGUUCUACCAAAGAGAUCCAGCCACUGUGCGUGGCCAGAGAUGGUAGCCAGGUGGCCAGUCAGCAUAUGUAUAUUGACUGGGCAACCUCGUGUGGUUGUGCCCCUGCCACACCAUGUGCUGCCACUCACCCAUCUGGUCAGGCAAAACUCCCACGACAAAGCUGGGAUAUCAGAACUGAUCCACAGAAAAUCUGCUUCUCUUUUCAGAGAGACGUGUGGAUUCCAGCCUCCGGAAGUACACAGCAGCACAAAAUAAAACAGAUCCCAGCACUGCCAAAGGCACAUAAGCAAUGAGCCCUCAGGAUUGCCAAAACGGAGGCAGAUAUCCAUAAUUAUCUAAUAUGCAGUGUUACUGAUGUUCUGCAACAAAUACUCACUCACCCAGAGCCCAUGCAGGGGUAUGGCUUCAGGUCUCUGUUUCUGGGCCAGAAUUCAUCAGUAAGGCACUGUUCAGCUUGGAUGGCAAGCUAAAGAUAUUAGUACCCAUAGAAGCGUUCUUCCCAGUGCUGGGAAGUUCAGCACAGUUGAAAACCUACCUAUUGCACUGGGUAGCUAUGUUAGCAUAUGGGCCAAAAUGUGGCUUUGCUUCUGUAGCUGUCACACUUUCUUUAAAGGUCAUGAAUCCCCCCUUCAAAUUGCUUCAAUUACAUCCAGCUCCUCGUAAGAAUCAAUGCAUACAAAGAAUUUAUUUGUACCUCAUUGUGAUCAGCAUCAAGUUGCAUCAGUGGAGCCUUAGAUUGGAUUUUUGGGAAGAUUUAUUCACUGAAAGGGUGGAACAGGCUGCCAAGGGAAACAGUGGAAUCAUGGUACCUGGAAGUGCUCAAAAAAUAUGUAUAUAUGGCCCUCAGGGACAUAUAAACAUGACAGUGUUAGGUUAAUGAUUGGCCUUUUCCAACCUAAAUGAUUCUAGGAUUCUGUGAUUCUAUAAAAUCUGGAAAACUUGAAAUUAGUUGAUCAAACAUGAACUGCAGAGAGGAUUUACGGAACAGAAUUUUUAAAAGCCCAAAAGUGCUACCUAGCCAACUAUCUGAUUAAAAUAGCACAGUAUUUAUCUUCACAUUUGCCCUGUUAGGCUACAAACCACUGCAAUUCUCAUGUUUUACACGCACAGCAUUGAAACACUAUCUGCAGUGUAGAUACCCACACAUAAACCCUUCAAAUUCAGAGGAAGAGAGUGGGCACUUAGAGGGCAAGAGCUGCCUAAGCAAUUUCAUCAGUCUGCCUUAGAGGGGAUCAAGUCCUUUCUGGGAAACUGGCAACACAUUAACACCAUGCAGUGAGUCUGGAGCUGGCUCUGGCACCCAGGGUGUAGGCACAGCCUUGGUCACACGGCUGAGAGGAGAGGGAGAGCUGAGAAUGACAGCUGUGCUACAGGGAGCUGAAGUGAGAAAGGCUAAGGGUGAGGGUCAAAUUGCUGUAGGAGCAAGUGCCACGGUAUCUGAUUUCAACCAAGCAAAUUAUCUACCUGCACUUAACUUCCUUACACAUUUGUGUCCAGCAUGUUUGUUAACUUAGUGAUUUCUGUAGGAACUGAAUCCAUUUCACAUGCAAAUGGACCUAAAAAUCACCAAAGUCAAAGGAUGGGAACUAAUUUUAUUUCUCAAUCAGCAGAACUGUGCAGAAAAUCACCCUUAGCUUAAUAGAGAGUGAUUUGCAGAUCACAAGGGAGAGAAAUUAUACCUACUUUAUCCAAGAAGGAUGGCCAGGAGAAAAUAUAGAAUAGGUUUGGGGGUGAAAUUAUUUAACAAGAAGCUCUUCAUGAAACUUACUGAAAGUUGUCGUGCUCCGAGACUAUACAAAGGACUGAAUGGGAUAACCCUUUCAGUGGAAACAGGAAGUUAGGUGGGCAAGGGGUAUGGCUGAGAUGGAGUUCAGCUCCCCAUAGCAGUCCUCACAGUGCACUGGUAGCUAGAAUGGUGUUGAUAACACACCAGUGUUUUGGCUGCUGCUGAGCUGUGCUGGCGCUGUCUCUCAACCUUCCCCCACCAUCAGUAGGCUGAUCCUGGGAGGGGACACAACCAGGCCAGCUGACCCAAAUUAACCAAAGGGGUAUUCCAUACCAUAUGAUGUCAGUUCAGAUAUAAAAGCUAAGUAAAAAACCAGGAAGGGGAGGCAUUAGUUAUUUACAGUGUUUGCCUUCUGGAACAAGAACUACUUAUGCUAAAGCCCUGUUCCCAGGGAGCAGCCAGAUAUUGUUUGCUGAUGGGGAGAAUACAGUUUUGGGUUUUUUCUCUUUUCUUAUGUACACACAAGCUUUUGCUUUUGCUUGAGUAAACUGCCUUAUCUCAAUGCACAAGUUGUUUUCUGUUUUAUUUUCUCUUCCCUGUCCAGUUUGGAAGGGGAGUGAUAGAGUGGCUCGGUGGGCACCUGGCAUCCAGCAAACGUCCACCCACCACAGGGACGAAAGAGGCAGAAAGAGCAACCUUUCUGAUAUAAUUUUUAAUGGAUUAAGCCUGAGUUUUCUUCCCUGUGUAGUUUAAAAUCUCUUAUAAGUGAAAUAUGUACAUUACAUAUAUUAAUGUAUGAGCCAUGUAACCCUAAUGUGACCUGAUGCUAGUGAGUUAUAAUUUCGUAUGCAUAUCACCAAUACAUUUCUGACCAACAAACGUGGCAAAUCCCAAAGCAGGGCCCCAGAGCACCUCAUCAUGUAAAAUCACUGCCCAACACACUUUCCAGAGUAGCUAAAAAGCAGCAGAGUGGAUCAUGUCAGGGGCUAGUUCACACACAUAACAUAGAAAACAGAUGAAAGUGUCUUCUACUGGCUGGUGAUAACCAGGAAAGCACUCUGACAUGCAGCAAGAUGCCAGGGAGGCCCAGAAGAGCAACCAAGUUGUCAGAGCAUCCUUCCCCUCUGCAGAUGGCUGAAAGCAAGAUACCCUGACAAGCUGACAGGCCAAUCAGAGAGUCUGUGCAGAGAAGGGUAUUUACAGAUUUCCCACCUUUGUGGUCCUGAAGAGCUUGACGGAAAAAGUACCCCAACUUAAAAGUGCAGCCUCAGUUACCAUGUGAGAGAUGGUGGUGACAGAGGGGAGUCUGAACAGCCAAAAUAAGCAUGCCAGUUUUGUUUGCAGAAGGAAGGGGAGGCGGUGUCUCAGGUACCCAAGCAGAGACUCACCUGCAGUCUCUGGAGAGACCAUGGCAGAGAAGAUGCACACACUGCAGCCCAUGGGGAACAUCAUAUGGAGCAGGUGGAUGUUUCCUGAAGGAACUAAACCCUGGGGAAGAGCCCAUGCUGGAGCAGAUUUAUCUGAAGGAAUUGCAUUCUGUGAGAGGAACCCAGAAAGAGCAGGAGGAGAACAGGAGGAGGAAAGAGCAUCAGAAAAGAGCUGUUAUGGACUGAUCAUAGCCCACUUUCCCCAUCUUCCUGCACUACUUAGGGGAGAAGAAGUUGGAAAAAAGAAGAUUUUCGGUGGCCUAAUUGCAGUCUUCCAGUACCUGAAAGGAUCGCACAAGAAUGAUGGAGACGAAUUUGUUACAAGGGCAUGUAGUUACAGGACAAGGGGAGAUGGCUUCAAACUGAAAGAGAGUUUAGAUAAAAGAUAUUAGGAAGAAAUUCUUUACUCUGAGAGUGGUGAGGCACUGGAACAGGUUACCCGGAGAAGUUGUGGAUGCUCCAUCCCUGGAAGGGUUCAAGGCCAGAUUGGAUGGGGCAAUCCCCCAUGGCAGGAGAGUUGGAACUAGAUGAUCUCUAAGGUCACUUCCAAACCAAACCAUUCUGUGAUUCUAAUGCCAGGGACUGACCUUGUAAUAUGACACAAUAUAAUAGUCUUCUAAGAAAAGAGAGAAACAGGUUGAAGUGUGAAUCCUGGAGUCUUGUGAGACAUAUUUGGCCACAACAGUUCCCAUGCAUCAGGUGAAAGAAGUGCUGCUGAUCAUCCUAGUCGGGUAGGGAAUGCAUCUGAAGCCCAUUUGUGAUCGUCUCUGUCUAAGUCAUGUGUUCAGUGCAGACUGCAAUACAGACAAGGGAACCACAAAUGAGCUACUAGAAAUAAGAGAAAUAAUAAUAGAAACCAAGAUAAAAACAGAGCUCUCCAAAGAAAAUUUUAUUUUGACUUCAAUCGACUUUAUGUAGUCUCAGAGUCAAAUUGUGUACUAACUACACCUACAUAUACAUACCUACAUAUGUUUCAAUUUCCUUUUCAUAUUCAACACAGAUAUUAAUGUUUGUGGCUUAGUAAAAGAACACACGGAACUAAGGAUGCUUCUUAAGGAUUUGAGUGGCUUCUCAUCUAAGUGCAUAUACAUUUUAGAGACAUUUUCAGACAGAACUGCAUAAAAUUGUUUCUGAGGAAUAUGAAAACUCUCAGCACUGCAAUGUAUUUACUGCAUUCCCAUGAGAAGUUAAACAGACUAACCCAUGGGAGAAUGUAACACAACUGUGACACCUUUGUGCAGAGGUGAGUACCAAGUACAGUUGGCCUGCCAGUAAAAUCCCAUUUUAUGAGCUGGAAUCACUUGAGUAGGUAUCACCUGUGAGGUCCUCUGCCCAGCCAAACAGCAGCACCUGAAAACUGUUGUUUACAUUCUGUAUGGGAAAGAAAGGAGAUCACACAGAGGGAGGUCCCAAGAAGAAUGGGAAGGAAAUAAAGUGGAUUUGCAAUGAUGAGCUGAAAAGUUGGAAAGAGAGAAUACUGCAUAAUAGUUAAUCAUUUGUGAUUACAUUUGUGACAGUAAGGAUGCUGUUUCACUUAGCUUCCCUUAAUUUCUUAUCUGAUGUAUUUAACAUGGUAUAAAAAUACACAAGGAUUAAGAGAAAUUAAAUAGAGCAGACAAAACAAACAACUACCCCAUGGGACAUCAUAGGUAUUGUAAAAGAAAUUGCAUCAAACUUGCUCAGAGAGGUUCUGAUGAUCUGGGAGGAAAAGGGGGAGGCUCAGGAUUAGGAAGGUGACAGCUUCCUGAUGCCUUCCAUGUCCCGAGUUAUGACAGCUCUGCAACUCACACUACACCAAAGCAGGAAAAAAGCAUUUCCAAGCGUCCAGCCCAAAGCCACGGCUCCACCCAGAGCUAAGAGGUUUUCUGACAUUCCAGACCCAGGGACAUCUAAUAAGGCUGGGAAUGAGGAAAGCAGUUAAAUGUCAGGGGAUAAAGGAAUUGAGGCAGAAAGAGACAGAUGUUUCCCUGGCACAUGGCUAAACUGUCUGGUGGGAGACUUUGGCAAAAGCUCAUGGUCUGCCUGUUCCUAUUGCCGUUGAGAGGAACUGGGCUUUGUGUACAAUUACGUAAACAAACAAAUGACCUCAAGACUCUACCAAAUUUGAACCCAUUUUUCAUGCAGAUGCACCCUCUCUCCUGCAAAGAGAGGUAUUCAGUUUGCCAUGAAACCAAAAGGGCAAUGAGGCUAUCAUCCCCUGGUUUGCACAGUGAGGUAGCCCGGCAACAAGCAAUGAAAAAAAUCAAACUACAGAUUGCCCCGUCCAUUAUUCUGCUCUUUUCCUUUUCCCUUUUAACAGUGAUGAGCCACAAGGAAAACAAAGAGCUGUUCUCAUCAGGUUUUGGACUAAGACGCUUCUACUUUAAUCACAAGAAAAACUGAUUGGAAUCCACAGGGUUUGUGUUUUCAGAUGAUUUGGAGGAUACUUUAAAUGAUAUUUCUUUCUGUGUUUUAUCAUCUUCAGGACACGGCACAGAAGAACGCAAAAUGAAAAUAACAGUAGUUGACUUAAUAUUUUGAACUGAAAGAUACAAUUCAUUUGGAAUCUGAAAGAAGCUCAGGACUGCUCUGACCUGACUGGAGUCAUGUUUUAUUUUACACAUACUAGAAAGGGUGGGAAAUUCAAACAGGUUAAAAAUCUUAUCCUAAGUUCUGCAAAAAGCUGGCUUGCAGAGAAGGUUUACAUUUUCUUGAUUUACUUGCCAUUCAACAGUGUUCUAAGGCUAGGGUUAAUAGCAGCAAAAUAGAGUGACUUGCAAUAGAAAUACUUAAUUGCCCUAUAGCAUAUGUGAUAACUAUGCAGCAGGAGGUUUCAGGAGCUGGCUGACAAAAAUUGUAGUGCUCUGCUAGGUUAAUCUAAUUAGAGCUCUUCCUUGCAGCUUCGAUUGACAGUUUGGAAACCUGUAAACUUCUCUAAACAUAGACAGCCUUCCAUUUGCCGCAGUUCAAGAGAGGACCCUCUUCCUGCACUCUUCCCUUGAACUGUUUCCAUGGAAUACUGUCCAUAUUCAGAAAAAUGUACAGGUUGCCAAACUGUCAACUAAAGCUGUAAUGAAUGGCUCUAAUUACAUGCAAGUAGCAGAGAGCAUUGCCAUUUUAAUCAAAUCUGAGCCUUGUGAGAUAUUUGGCAGAAAUACAAGAGAAAGCCUGAGGAAAACUCUGCCAAAAUGUUAGCAACCUUUUAUUUUAAAUUCUGCCUGUCAGAGAACUGAAUACCAACUGCUAUGCAAAGGUUUUUGUUUUAUGGGGUUGUUUUAUUGUAGCCUAUAUGGUCUCAUCAUGAAUUAUUAUCCUGUUCUCUAUCAACAAAAUAAAACAAAACAAAAACACAGCCCCACAAUUUCAAGACUAAAAGUGAUGAUCAGCAAUUUCGCUAAUCAGUCAGCCACAGUCAUGUUGCCAGUCACAGGGGCAAGGGGGACCCAAUAACAUCUUUUCACUCAAAGAGUUUCUGCCAGCGCUCAGCUUUGUGUUGCACACACCAAGACGCAUAAAAGCAAACUGCUUUGUCAGAUAUCCUGUCAGAUGCUGCCCCAACUCCUUUGUAAAUGCCACAACUUUAUGUUCUGCAGCCCUUUCUUAUCCUAACAGUGUGAAAGACCUAUCUUUACUGAGUCCAGUGAUCUUGAUAUUCCAUCCCUUUUUACAAAUCACAAAUUUGGAACUAACUCCAAAAUUUUAGCUUUUAAUUUAUUUAUUUAUUUAUCACACCUUUAAGACCUCACAGUGAUUAAAUGUAAAGUAUCAAAACUAGUGAGGGACAGGAAAGAAAAAGAUAAUAAGUUGUCCAAUCAUUCUGUAAGUUUAAUGGACAAGAAGAAAAACAAAAUGUCCAGAAUUUUACAAAAUCUAUUCUGGAGGAUAAAGGAAGGCAACAAAGGAAUUCCUUCUUCUUCCAGAGGAAUUCAUCUGGUAACAUAAGGUUUAAUUACAUUUCAGUUCCUCUCAUGAAAGCACCUGCAGCAAGAGUGUUAUAGGUGAAACAAGAUGAAAGAAAAAGGAUUUCAUAUCACAGAUAUUUCGGGUGCAGUAUAAUCAGUCUCAAUCCACAACCUUCCUUCAUUUCCAGGAGAUGGGUUUCAUUUAUUUCACUAGGCAUUUUGCUAGUCUUGUCCUGACAGCUGUCGCACAGAAGUCCUGCUGCUUCAUGUCCCAGCAGAGAGCCAAAUGCCAACCCAGUCUUACUGCUUACUAUUGCAUUAUUGGAGUGCUCUUCCUCCAGCUCCAUUCCCAGCAAUAAAGACCGGCAGAAGAAUUCUUCUCCUGAAGUUCCAAAAAGUUUCCUUAUUCAUUAUUUAUUCAAUCACACAAUCUAUGUUCACUAAGUAUGGUCUCACAAUGUACAAAACCUAAAAGAGGGUCAACCCAGGCCCUUUGCAACCGUCUAUCUAAUAACUAAUUUUGAAAUAACCUUCAACACAUCACUGCUCAGCUUCCUGAAUAGUGACAGGGGUUGUAAAGAGGCAUUGCCUGGCUAUAGACAGCCCUACCAUGGUCUCCCUCAGUGAUGAAGCUCAGCAGCCCUCAUGAAACAGCCUCCUGAUUUCUAGUCCAAAUCUGUUUUGUGUGCAGAAUUGAAAGAUUCAUUUUAUAAUUAGUAGUCUAAAUCAUUGCAUUUUCUUUACAUUUUGGUGAGGUUGUUUCUAAAGAAAGUGUCCUCUAUUUUUCUUGAAGCUUUUUUUUUUUGUGUGUGUGGUAAGAACCUUUGGGGAGUUUUGUGAAAAAAAUAAUCUUACCGUUAUCUUUUUCUGGAAAGUGCAUGUUUUGAAGCUGCUCAUGAAUUAUUUUUCUGAUACACUCGUGAUCAGCGUGGGAUAUAUCAUUGGUGAUUUUACUGCUGAUGCAACUAAAAUAUCAGAUUAGUUAAUAUAAAGAAAAAAGGUUUGGUUGAUUUUUUUGGUUUUGUUUUUGGUUUUUUUUUAAUGCUACUUGUGUUCUCCAUUCUUUAAAUAUAUUCAUUAAAUACAUGCAUAGGUCUUUCUGGCUUCAGCUAAUAACAGAUGUUUUAAACAUGAUGUAAAAGCUCCACACAGAAGGAUAUUUCUCUCCUAUCAACUUCAGUUUGAAGCAUGAAAUAUAAUUAUCCUUAUAUCAUUAUCUUAGCCUGCAUAGUUCAAAGAAAUAAGACACAAUCUGGAAGUGUUUCUGUGCCAAAAAAUGUGCUAGCCUUUUCUUCUUCUAAAAUCUGAGUAGUAGUUAGGAGAGAGAGGAGAGAAUCCUUUUUUUCUGGGUAGUAAAAGUGGGAGGGUUUUCUUUACUUUAUGUUCCAACACAAAGCCCAAUAUCACAACCACCCUUUCUUCACAGCUGAAGCCUGGGACAAGAGCACUCAAACUGCAUGGAAGACACCUAAGUUGAAGUAGUUUGCUUUUCAGGCAUGCUAAAUGCUUUCUGCAAAUUAUGCAGCAGAACCGAAGUCUAUUUUACUGGGAGAAGUAAUGUGCCCUGCUCUGUUCUCUCUACCCUGAUACACAUGUCCCAUGCUACUCCAAUGAAAAAUAAGAAUGGAAGCUGUAUGAGGAGCAAAAUGGGUCAGAAGUAGGAGCACCAAAUAAAAUAAUAGCUUUUUUAUAUAAAUCUUAGGAUUCUCUAAAUUUCCUCUGUGAGCUUGAUUAUUUAAGGUGGAAUCAGCUACUGAUUCCUUCUGUAUUAGGAACACCAUUUGCCUGAUGGUUGAAAGGUACAAUGAGGACAUUUACACAGGAGUUAAGCACCAUAAAUUGUUCUUAGAGUCAAUGGCCAUCUAGUCAAUCUAAUUAACACAAACUAUGGAGUUACUUUUUUAUGCCUUGAGCAGAUUUUUAAGACAGGUCAAGUGAAUCCCAUGCUAAUGGUUCUCAUUGCUUUCCAUUGCCAGCAUGGAUUGCAAAGUCAGCUGUAAUGAGGUGAGAGGAACCUGAUUCCAGCUGCUAAAAUGUAAAACAUAAUAGACAGAUCUUCACCUUAGUAAGUGAAACCUUGAGUCAUUGCAACCUUGCCAAUGGGAUCUUGCUGCUUUACGUCAGGUAAGAAAUCAACUUACCUCUCUUUGCUUUGUUACUGGUGGGACUCAGAAGACCUAGUACGCUCUUUACUGGGCUGUGAAACUUUCAUAUACUAACCCAAUUAUUUCAGCUAUAACAUAGGAUAUAGACUUCAUGUCACCUGACUUCAGACAAUCCAAUAUCAUGUAUAAGGUCUGUAAUGGCAGUCACCUUCAGCUGUCUUGAAGUCACUGAAGAGAAACAGAACUCUCCAAAUGAUGGUUCACUUGAUAUAUCUUAUCCACAAUCUAUUUUAGGAUUAGAUGACUCAUUUUCCAGGUGUGUUUUAUUCUCCAUAUAAACAGUAAGAACACUAGAUAUCCAGCUCAUACAUGGAUUUCUGAUUUCGAUAAACAUAAGGAAGGACAGACUGAUUUCAUCCAUUCUCUCAUUGUCUCCAAGAUUGGCUGUGACUAUUGCAGACCUGACUGCAUAAUAUUUUUAUAGAAUCAUAGAAUAGUGUGAGUUUGAAGUGACCUUUAAAGGUCAUCUAGUCCAACUACUCUCCCUGCAAUGAGCAGGGACAUCAACUAAACCAGGUUUUACUUAAAGAAGUUCAUACCAGGCAGUAUUUUGGUUGUACUGCUCUUCUUCUCACUUAUGCUCUCUCUUUUUUCUUUUUGUCAUUGUGACAAAAGUACAGUCACAAUUGUGUUGUACAGAUUUUAGAAAUGGAAAAGACAUAUCUGUUUACCUGGGAGGUUACUUUCCCAAGGACAGCAAGAAUUACAGUGAAGCUGAGCUAAAUUUCUGAUUGUUAUGUAGAUGGAAGAACUGCACGUAAGAACUUUAAUACAAGGACAUAUUUUCUUCCAAAAACAUCCCUCUGCAAGGGAAACUAGUCACAUUCGUGUAUUUUUUUAUCUUUUGAGAAGAAGGAGUAUAGUUUUCAACAAAGAUGAAAUUCUGAGAAAGUGUAAGAAGUGGAUUAGUAACCCUUUCUUUGGUUAUGAAGAAUUUCUACAAUCUCCACCCAAGACCUCUCAACAAGAUGUACAACUCCUUAUAGAAUAGAAUUGCAGAAUCAUUUAUGUUGAAAAUGACCAUUAAGAUCAUUGAGUCCAGCUGUUCACCCAGCACUGCCAAAUCCACCAUUAAACCACGUCCCUCGGUGCCACAUUUACACGUCUUUUGAAUACCUGCAGGAAUGGUGACUCCACCAUUUCCCUGGGCGACCUGUUCCAAUGUUUGACAACCCUUUCAGUGAAGAAUUUUUUCCUAAUAUCCAAUCUAAACCUUCCUUGUUGCAACCUGAAGCCAUUUCCUCUUGGUUCUCUUGCUUGUUACCUGGGAGAAGAGACCACAGAAAACAACGGUCAGGAGGGAAAAGAGGAAGCCAAAAGUUUCUGCUAGAGCAUAACCCUACAGAAGGUUAUUUACUCCAAAAGACUGAUGUUUUCCCAUAGUUUUGCUCCUACUAUAUCUGAGCUGGCACAUCUUACAGGACGUCAUACUAUCUGGUGAUACCAGUCCACUUCAUUACACAGUGUAUGCUUGCCUUAUGACAGCUCCAAUUAGAACUGAUACAGUGCCUGGUCUAGGUGAUGGUCAGUGGUGAAGCAACCCAAGUCCAGAGAAUUGUUGUGGUGAUUUAGGGAUCCAAAGGGUUUGCUGAAAGGAUCGUUGGUAAAUCAGUAUUUCUCAUUACCCUUCCCAGAAGUCAUUGCAAAUGACUACUACCAGUGUCAAAAUCCACGAAGGCAUGAAUGCUGGUCCAUCUGAGGUCUUUUUGAAAUUGAAGGUGGAGAUGGAGUAUGGGCAAUGUGCCACCAUUCUCACCUCAGUGAUAGGUUUUUUGUUCAUUUCAUUUUGUUUCACUGAUGUUUGUAGACAAAACAGCCUGUUUGUCCAGAUUAUCCAACAUGUUUGAACACUCAGGGAUAGAUAAAAACAUAUAUAGCACUCACUCAGAUACGUAUCAAUGUAUUUGGAACCUUAACAUAACUGAUUAUGUUACCUAGUAGAAGCAGCGUGACUCAGGUGGAGCAAGUUGCCCCGAACCAGCAGCAGGACACAUGUGACUCAGCUGUCAACAGAUGAUAUCCAGUUCCAUGUAAAACUUAACACCAUAUUGCUGCCCACUACUUUAUUAAGAGCAUGGGUCAGUAUUAUACUUUGAAUUCUGGAGGAGCAGGCUGGGGUUCCCAUCAGAUUUCGAGCAGCAGAUUUCACUUGAAUGUUUUAAGAGUGAGCUGUAACUUGUGGAGAAGAAGCACAGCUUCCUCAGUCAACCACAAGUCUUGAUAAGUUUGAUGAAGCACCUUCUCUUAUCUUUCUCAUAAUAUAAAACACUGAAUUAUUAUGACAAUAAAGAUAUGGGAUGUUUGAUAAUUUGA
Molecule: long non-coding RNA, 13973 nt
Organism: Myiozetetes cayanensis
Lineage: Eukaryota; Metazoa; Chordata; Aves; Passeriformes; Tyrannidae
Exons: 2
Source: RefSeq, a predicted model, not a curated record